Long non-coding RNA from Arabidopsis lyrata subsp. lyrata, 473 nucleotides. RefSeq lists it as uncharacterized. Lineage: Eukaryota; Viridiplantae; Streptophyta; Magnoliopsida; Brassicales; Brassicaceae. The record is from RefSeq and is a predicted model, not a curated record. The transcript has 2 exons.
UAAAAUCUAAAACGCAAAAGAAAACAAAAAAAGCAACAAAAACUUUUGCUCGCAUCCUCUCCUCCCAAACCAGAGGUCGCACCGCCGAUCUCGCCGGCCGUUGUCUCCGGCGUCUCGCCCUCGCAAUCGGUUUGUUCUCCUCUCUCUUACGCCAUUAUAAAACUUAGAGAUUCUUUCUUAGUUCCUCAAUCUUCCGAUGGAUAUCAACAAUAAUCACCACCGCUCCGACGACGACGACAACGCUCCGACGACGACGACAACGCUCUCUCAGUCACCGGAUGUCCUGCAUAAACGAUUCGAAGUUUCAGAUCAUUGUCAAAGAUGUGAUCUCAAGAUGGAUCAUCACAGUCUUUGGAUUUUUAAUUGUGAUGCCACUAAAGACGCCCAUGGAAUCUGCUUGUUAAUUGAGUGGGAUGAAUGUAAGACGCUUGACUAUGAGAGGAUUUUUGAAAAGAUGCAGAAACCAGCGUUUG